RNAcentral lists this ribosomal RNA (393 nucleotides) under uncultured bacterium. Its description in RNAcentral is "bacterial SSU rRNA". It matches the Rfam family "Bacterial small subunit ribosomal RNA", at positions 28 to 417 of the family's 1533-position model. The record is from RNAcentral.
GACGAACGCUGGCGGCGUGCCUAACACAUGUAAGUCGCACGGGACCGGGGGCAACUCCGGUUCAGUGGCAGACGGGUGCGUAACACGUGAGGAACCUGUCCGACGGCGGGGGAUAGCCGGCCCAACGGCCGGGUAAUACCGCAUACGAUCGUUUGGGGGCAUCCCCGAGCGAUGAAAGCAGCCGCAAGGUUGCGCCGAUGGAGGGUCUCGCGGCCUAUCAGCUAGUUGGCGGGGUAACGGCCCACCAAGGCGACGACGGGUAGCUGGUCUGAGAGGAUGGCCAGCCACAUUGGGACUGAGACACGGCCCAGACUCCUACGGGAGGCAGCAGUGGGGAAUCUUGCGCAAUGGCCGCAAGGCUGACGCAGCGACGCCGCGUGUGGAUGACGGCCU